CAGUAGCCACGGUAAUACGGAGGGUGCAAGCGUUAAUCGGAAUUACUGGGCGUAAAGCGCACGCAGGCGGUCUGACAAGUCAGAUGUGAAAUCCCCGGGCUUAACCUGGGAACUGCAUUUGAAACUGUCAGGCUGGAGUCUUGUAGAGGGGGGUAGAAUUCCAGGUGUAGCGGUGAAAUGCGUAGAGAUCUGGAGGAAUACCGGUGGCGAAGGCGGCCCCCUGGACAAAGACUGACGCUCAGGUGCGAAAGCGUGGGGAGCAAACAGGAUUAGAUACCCCGGAGUCCCUGUCUCUUAUACA
Molecule: ribosomal RNA, 301 nt
Filed under: uncultured bacterium
Lineage: Bacteria
Description: partial 16S ribosomal RNA
Rfam family: Bacterial small subunit ribosomal RNA
Source: RNAcentral